Molecule: ribosomal RNA, 575 nt
Filed under: marine bacterium D716-5-2
Lineage: Bacteria
Description: bacterial SSU rRNA
Rfam family: Bacterial small subunit ribosomal RNA
Source: RNAcentral
GGUCGCGCUACCAUGCAGUCGAGCGGAACGAGUUAUCUGAACCUUCGGGGAACGAUAACGGCGUCGAGCGGCGGACGGGUGAGUAAUGCCUAGGAAAUUGCCCUGAUGUGGGGGAUAACCAUUGGAAACGAUGGCUAAUACCGCAUGAUGCCUACGGGCCAAAGAGGGGGACCUUCGGGCCUCUCGCGUCAGGAUAUGCCUAGGUGGGAUUAGCUAGUUGGUGAGGUAAGGGCUCACCAAGGCGACGAUCCCUAGCUGGUCUGAGAGGAUGAUCAGCCACACUGGAACUGAGACACGGUCCAGACUCCUACGGGAGGCAGCAGUGGGGAAUAUUGCACAAUGGGCGCAAGCCUGAUGCAGCCAUGCCGCGUGUGUGAAGAAGGCCUUCGGGUUGUAAAGUACUUUCAGUCGUGAGGAAGGUAGUGUAGUUAAUAGCUGCAUUAUUUGACGUUAGCGACAGAAGAAGCACCGGCUAACUCCGUGCCAGCAGCCGCGGUAAUACGGAGGGUGCGAGCGUUAAUCGGAAUUACUGGGCGUAAAGCGCAUGCAGGUGGUUUUGUUAAGUCAGAUGGGAA